UGGCUCAGAUUGAACGCUGGCGGCAUGCCUUACACAUGCAAGUCGAACGGCAGCGGACCUUCGGGUGCCGGCGAGUGGCGAACGGGUGAGUAAUGCAUCGGAACGUGCCAUUGAGUGGGGGAUAACGUAGCGAAAGUUGCGCUAAUACCGCAUAUUCUGUGAGCAGGAAAGCAGGGGACCGCAAGGCCUUGCGCUCUUUGAGCGGCCGAUGUCAGAUUAGCUAGUUGGUGAGGUAAAGGCUCACCAAGGCGACGAUCUGUAGCGGGUCUGAGAGGAUGAUCCGCCACACUGGAACUGAGACACGGUCCAGACUCCUACGGGAGGCAGCAGUGGGGAAUUUUGGACAAUGGGGGCAACCCUGAUCCAGCCAUGCCGCGUGAGUGAAGAAGGCCUUCGGGUUGUAAAGCUCUUUCGGCCGGGAAGAAAUCGCAUGGGUUAAUACCCUGUGCGGAUGACGGUACCGGCAUAAGAAGCACCGGCUAACUACGUG
Molecule: ribosomal RNA, 490 nt
Filed under: uncultured bacterium
Lineage: Bacteria
Description: bacterial SSU rRNA
Rfam family: Bacterial small subunit ribosomal RNA
Source: RNAcentral